This 370-nucleotide ribosomal RNA is filed under the name uncultured bacterium. RNAcentral describes it as "bacterial SSU rRNA". It matches the Rfam family "Bacterial small subunit ribosomal RNA", at positions 527 to 896 of the family's 1533-position model. The record is from RNAcentral.
GGAAUGUGCAAACGUUAUUCGGAAUCACUGGGCUUAAAGAGUCCGUAGGCGGCCUGUUAGGUGAGGUGUGAAAUCCCUCGGCCCAACCGAGGAAUUGCGCUUCAAACCGGCAGGCUAGAGGAGGAUAGAGGUGGGCGGAACUGAUGGUGGAGCGGUGAAAUGCGUUGAUAUCAUCAGGAACACCGGAGGCGAAAGCGGUCCACUGGGUCCUUUCUGACGCUGAGGGACGAAAGCUAGGGGAGCGAACGGGAUUAGAUACCCCGGUAGUCCUAGCCUUAAACGAUGAGCACUAGACCGAAGAACCUCCACGGUUUUUUGGUCGUAGCGAAAGUGUUAAGUGCUCCGCCUGGGGAGUAUGGUCGCAAGGCUG